AGUGAACGCUGGCGGCAGGCCUAACACAUGCAAGUCGAACGGCAGCACAAGAGAGCUUGCUCUCUGGGUGGCGAGUGGCGGACGGGUGAGGAAUGCAUCGGAAUCUGCCCAUUUGUGGGGGAUAACCUCGGGAAACCGGGACUAAUACCGCAUACGACCUACGGGUGAAAGCAGGGGAUCUUCGGACCUUGCGCCGAUGGAUGAGCCGAUGCCGGAUUAGCUAGUUGGAGGGGUAAAGGCCCACCAAGGCGACGAUCCGUAGCUGGUCUGAGAGGAUGAUCAGCCACACUGGGACUGAGACACGGCCCAGACUCCUACGGGAGGCAGCAGUGGGGAAUAUUGGACAAUGGGCGCAAGCCUGGUCCAGCCAUGCCGCGUGUGUGAAGAAGGCCUUCGGGUUGUAAAGCACUUUUGUUGGGAAAGAAAAGCAGCCGGUUAAUACCCGGUUGUCAUGACGGUACCCAAAGAAUAAGCACCGGCUAACUUCGUG
RNAcentral lists this ribosomal RNA (490 nucleotides) under uncultured bacterium. Its description in RNAcentral is "partial 16S ribosomal RNA". It matches the Rfam family "Bacterial small subunit ribosomal RNA", at positions 29 to 507 of the family's 1533-position model. The record is from RNAcentral.